Molecule: long non-coding RNA, 1400 nt
Organism: Cyprinus carpio (common carp)
Lineage: Eukaryota; Metazoa; Chordata; Actinopteri; Cypriniformes; Cyprinidae
Source: Ensembl
AUGUGUUCGAAAAGCGUGAGCUCAGUGUUUGGCCCGCGCCUACAAACCACCUCUCAGCCCCACCGAGCUCGAGGCGAGCUGCUACCGUGCUCUCACGCGCACUGCAAGUGUGACUCUGACGUCAGACGUGAUUCACAGUGCACGAGCUCCGGGCAGGCUCUGUUGACGGGAGCGAGCACAUUCUUCUCGAGCAAGUCCUGUGCAGCGCUGCUGACGAAUUCCGUAACCCGAAUGAAGCACGUUGAUGGGUGGAAGAGCCCAGCAUAAACAAAGGCAGGCUGAAGAGCAGUUGAGUUGAGGCCUUAUUUGGGCAGAGUGGAUCCAGGUGAGAUAGUUAUUUAAAGUCACUCUUAUUUUAUGACUGGUUUUGAACAUUAUUUAUUUUAGUAUAAAAAGUUGCUUCCUCUUUUUACUCUUAAACUUUCUUUCUUUCUUUCUCCUCUUCAGAAUCCCUGUGUAAGUUGUUGAAAUGUCACAGUUCUAUUGGUUCCUGGUGCCAAAUAGUGAAGGAGGAGGGAGUUCUCACUCCUACAUGUGUGUGUCCAAAGACCUGCCCACAGCAGGGGGCAGCAGUGUGCAGCGUUAUGGGGAAGACGUACAGCAACGAGUGUCUUCUUCACAAGGAGGCCUGCCGCAAAAAACGACGCAUUGGCAAGGCAUAUAGUGGAGCUUGUCUGGUGAGCGAGGCUGAAUGCUCUGAGAAAGAGUUCGGUCAGCUCCUGUACCGUCUGCUGGACUGGUUCUUACUCCUCAGCAGAAUGGGAGAGAGAUACACACCAGCCGCUCCCUCUCAAAGUUGCCUCACACACACGCAGCGAACCCAACUUGUAGAGAGAAGGUUCGUUCUGUUAAGCAGGAGAGAUCUGAAAAAGCUUCACUAUAAGCAGAUGCCACUGGAGCACUGCGCUCAAAGAUUCUUCCAGUAACACACACACAGAAAAAGACACUAGUGCCUAUAGACACACACAAUCACCUCGCCACUGUGAUUUUAUGAUGUUUUCUCCUGUCUGACCUUCUUUGUAUUUGCAUAAUAUUACUGCAAACCCUCCCCAGCACCCUUCUGAUUAUUGUACACAUGCCUUCAGGAUGUCACCCACCACUCUCUCUCUCAUCCUCUUUCAAUCUCUCUUCCCUCGCUCAUCCUCUCAAUCUCUCAAUCUCUCUCUCUCCCUCAUUCAAAGCUGUUGAUGCUUAUUGCCUUCCUACUGUUCUAAUGUGAGUGGUGUCCUUUACGGCUGAUAGCAGCCGAGAAAGACAUAGGGGGAUGUAGAAAUCAAAAACAAGAGAGACAAAGGCAAAGAGACUCCACUUGUAGAUUUCAACAGUAUGGUGUUUGUGUGUGCGCGCAUAGAUCAUGUGACAAGAACAAGAAUAAAAAGGUGACCCUGAGUGAGUGGACA